AGUUGGCACUAUGUACAAUUUCAUUAAUGCUAUUUACUUAUUUCUUAAAUGCGCUGUACAUUUCAUUAAUUUUUUAGAUUAAAAACAAAGUAAAUUUCAUUAAAGGCUAUUGAAUGCAGAAUUUAGUUGACGAAAAUACUCUGGCUGCCUUCGCAUCGAAUAGUUACUGAGGUUCAUUGCUUCUACAAUUUUGUUGCAUUCUCAUUUGGCAGGGGUGAAAGAUUUAAGGAAGCAGAACAUUUUAUUUGCUAAAAGUUUCCUAAGAAGACUGCAUAAAUCCAGGUAUCCUUUGCACAACACAGUCUUACCAAUUUCACAUGCUUACUGCUUAAGGAGUGAGUGGAAGAUUUAGAAAGGCAGAAAAUCGUUUGCAGAAAGUUCCCAGAACAACACAAGCACUUCCCAAAACAACACAAGCAGAUGGUAGAAAUCCAGGUAUCAUUUGCAUUUGCUUGGAAGUUUCUUUGACAUUUUUAUCAGACCCAUUUUUUUCAUCGAGCACUAGCAGAUCUUAUGCACUCUCUACUUGUAUAAUAGUUUUGAAGACAAGUUCUUACAAUACCACAACACGUUAUCUUUUUCGCACUCAA
Molecule: long non-coding RNA, 590 nt
Organism: Cryptomeria japonica (Japanese cedar)
Lineage: Eukaryota; Viridiplantae; Streptophyta; Pinopsida; Cupressales; Cupressaceae
Exons: 3
Source: RefSeq, a predicted model, not a curated record